UAUUGCACUCGUCCCGGCCGAU
RNAcentral lists this microRNA (22 nucleotides) under Magallana gigas (Pacific oyster). RNAcentral's name for it is "Mgi-Mir-92-o33_3p (mature (guide))". Lineage: Eukaryota; Metazoa; Mollusca; Bivalvia; Ostreida; Ostreidae. The record is from RNAcentral.